CCUACGGGAGGCAGCAGUAGGGAAUCUUUCACAAUGGGCGAAAGCCUGAUGGAGCAACGCCGCGUGCAGGAUGAAGGCCUUCGGGUUGUAAACUGCUUUUAUAAGCGAGAAAUAUGAUGGUAACUUAUGAAUAAGGAUCGGCUAACUACGUGCCAGCAGCCGCGGUCAUACGUAGGAGCCGAGCAUUAUCCGGAGUGACUGGGUGUAAAGAGUUGCGUAGGUGGCAUAAUAAGUAGCUAGUGAAAUCUGGUGGCUCAACCAUUCAGACUAUUAGCUAAACUGUUAAGCUCGAGACCGUUAGGGGUAACUGGAAUGUCUGGUGUAGGGGUGAAAUCCGUAGAUAUUAGAAGGAACACCAAUAGCGUAGGCAGGUUGCUGGGACGGUUCUGACACUAAGGCACGAAAGCGUAGGGAGCAAACGGGAUUAGAUACCCCUGUAGUC
RNAcentral lists this ribosomal RNA (442 nucleotides) under uncultured bacterium. Its description in RNAcentral is "partial 16S ribosomal RNA". It matches the Rfam family "Bacterial small subunit ribosomal RNA", at positions 338 to 795 of the family's 1533-position model. The record is from RNAcentral.